GAUGACGGGAGCUUGCUCCUUGAUUCAGCGGCGGACGGGUGAGUAAUGCCUAGGAAUCUGCCUGGUAGUGGGGGACAACGUUUCGAAAGGAACGCUAAUACCGCAUACGUCCUACGGGAGAAAGCAGGGGACCUUCGGGCCUUGCGCUAUCAGAUGAGCCUAGGUCGGAUUAGCUAGUUGGNGAGGUAAUGGCUCACCAAGGCGACNAUCCGUAACUGGUCUGAGAGGAUGAUCAGUCACACUGGAACUGAGACACGGUCCAGACUCCUACGGGAGGCAGCAGUGGGGAAUAUUGGACAAUGGGCGAAAGCCUGAUCCAGCCAUGCCGCGUGNGUGAANAAGGUCUUCGGAUUGUAAAGCACUUUAAGUUGGGAGGAAGGGCAGUAAGCGAAUACCUUGCUGUUUUGACGUUACCGACAGAAUAAGCACCGGCUAACUCUGUGCCAGCAGCCGCGGUAAUACAGAGGGUGCAAGCGUUAAUCGGAAUUACUGGGCGUAAAGCGCGCGUAGGUGGUUCGUUAAGUUGGAUGUGAAAGCCCCGGGCUCAACCUGGGAACUGCAUCCAAAACUGGCGAGCUAGAGUACGGUAGAGGGUGGUGGAAUUUCCUGUGUAGCGGUGAAAUGCNUAGAUAUAGGAAGGAACACCANUGGCGAAGGCGACCACCUGGACUGAUACUGACNCUGAGGUGCGAAAAGCGUGGGGGAGCAAACAGGAUUAGAUACCCUGGUA
This 730-nucleotide ribosomal RNA is filed under the name Pseudomonas sp. SVAN4. Its description in RNAcentral is "bacterial SSU rRNA". It matches the Rfam family "Bacterial small subunit ribosomal RNA", at positions 68 to 792 of the family's 1533-position model. Lineage: Bacteria; Pseudomonadati; Pseudomonadota; Gammaproteobacteria; Pseudomonadales; Pseudomonadaceae. The record is from RNAcentral.